This is a non-coding RNA of Aegilops tauschii subsp. strangulata, 1997 nucleotides long. NCBI's taxonomy places the organism in Eukaryota, Viridiplantae, Streptophyta, Magnoliopsida, Poales, Poaceae. The record is from RefSeq and is a predicted model, not a curated record.
UGCUUACUAAAUCCCAUAUGUGCUAAAUUGUAAUGCUUCUAAACAUUUGUUCGUCUUACGUGCCUGCUAGCUUUUACUGGAAAUCAUAUCAUGCGUUCUGUAUUUGCCUUGAAAUUGAUGUAUCUCACAGGCUAGCUUAUAUCAUGGUCAUACUGCUACUGUCAAUACUACUGCAUAAACAACUUGUUAGAGUAGCUUUUUAUUAAUCUACUUUUCUGCCCAAAUUUACUAAGCUUCUGAGGUUUUUUAGGUAAUUUUAUUUAGCAACUCUCAGGUUCUAGAUCAGCACAUGAUUUGUGGGUGCCAGGUGAUGUGCCAGGUUUGUACAAUUGGAACAGUUGUACAAUGCACUGUUCUUGCCAAUGUUGGCACCCACUUUCUAGCGUUUAUCCAUAAUCCGACUCUUGCCGAUGUUUAAACUUUAGCUUGGAGAAACGAUGGUUGGUACCCACUCUGCACUUACUUGAACGAGCCAUUUAUGUCUUUCUCCUUUGUGUGGCUCCUCGAGCUUGGAUCGGCCAGAUCUUGCCAAGUGAAAAUCAGAACAAUUUUGGCAUACACGGCCUGGUGCCUGCUGUCCUAAUGUCGCUGACGCCGAACAGGGCACAAUGCUGCCACCACCUAGCUCUCCCUCCUCUUCCUUCAUCCACCAAUUCAAUGUUGAGGACACUAAGAAAAUAGAUGAGGCAUGAGUGACUUUGAGGAGAUGUACAAUGCAAAGUUCAGAGAUCAACACUAUAAUGAUGUGUGUGGCCGAACAUUUAUAUAUCAAGGUCUGUACUUCCAAAGUUUCUGAUCUAGAAAUUUACCUAAGGUUGUACUGAACAAAUACAAAGUUUCUGAUCAUAUACAUAUCUUAGGUAACUAUAAUAAUGUGUGGUUGUGUCCUUGAACGUUCAUAUAUCAAGGUCUAUACUUCCAAAGUCGACCUAGAGCCCCGUAAAAAGGAUUUACAUAGAGCCUCAUAAAAGGGAUUCAGUUAAGAGGGAUUCUGUUGUUUUUGUUAGAAAGCUCAGAGGUGUAAUAAUUCAUUGUCCUCUGUUCAAUAACUUGUCUUCCACUUCCUACCACGUAAUACCUGAGAAUAUAGUUUUAAUCUUCUCCAGUAUGAACGGAUUUUCUUUCUUUUAAAUUCCACACAAUGGAACAACGAUGGUUUCCACUUUUUUGUUUUAUGAAAUUCAUCUUCUUGCAAAUUUAUAGCUCACUACCUCAUGUUUUUAUGUUCCAAUAUGUUCAGAUAAUUCAUUGAGAUUUGACUUUUUGCACCCGCAAGGUAAAUCAAAAGUUCAGAACUUAAAAGGCUUCGUUAACUUUAAGAGAGUGGAAGGGGCGCCUCCAACCUGGCACUGCCCAAACUUCCUCUUAUAUGUGAUGUUUUCAGAUGCAUGUAUGCUUACUUGCUAAAUGAACUAUGCAUGCUUUCUUCUUAAAAAGUUCAGAUCUGGCCACCAAGGGGCAGUAUCCAUCAGCUAAAGAUGCAGUACGAAGAUGACCCAGUAAAAAGUAUUUAGUUCUUCAUGCUGAUUUAAAAAAAUACAAUUAACCAGUUCCUCCUUUUAAAUUUGAUAUUGAUAUAGUUAUCAUUUUGAUGCUUAGAGCUCAUCAUUUUGUAGGAAGAUGUCCGGGUUCUCGUCAAAUGAAAGCUGCACUACUAUAAAAAAUGGAAACAAAAGAACACCGGGCAGUCUCAUUCCGCACUGCAUUUGCACAGUCUGUCUUACCAGUGGACUGUAAAGCAAGAACAAAGCAUGAUAAAGGCGAACGACAUCUUUCUUCUUGGCCGGAUGACAUUUAUUUACAAUAUGGUAUUGUCUUUAGAAUUUCUCGUGUUGGUGUUUUCGUGUACUUAAUUAUGUGAUGGUGAUGAUUAUACACUCCUCACUUAUAGGAAUAGUGACCAUGCUGUGUACAUUGUAAUCUCUUUCCUGUUUUUCCUUUAUAGGAAUGAUAAGACUUCCUACAGUAGGCUUAAUGAGAAUUUCUUGUUUAUGGAA